This 460-nucleotide ribosomal RNA is filed under the name uncultured bacterium. Its description in RNAcentral is "partial 16S ribosomal RNA". It matches the Rfam family "Bacterial small subunit ribosomal RNA", at positions 338 to 795 of the family's 1533-position model. The record is from RNAcentral.
CCUACGGGAGGCAGCAGUGAGGAAUAUUGGUCAAUGGACGAGAGUCUGAACCAGCCAAGUAGCGUGAAGGAUGACUGCCCUAGGGGCUGUAAACUUCGUUUAUAAAGGAAUAAAACGAGGCACGUGUGCCUUUUUGCAUGUACUUUAUGAAUAAGGAUCGGCUAACUCCGUGCCAGCAGCCGCGGUAAUACGGAGGUUCCGAGCGUUAUCCGGAUUGAUUGGGUUUAAAGGGAACGUAGCUGGGUUUUUAAUUUAGUUGUGAAAGUUUGCGGCUCAACCGUAAAAUUGCAAUGGAUACUGGCAGUCUUGAGUACAGUUGAGGUAAGCGGAAUUCGUGGUGUAGCGGUGAAAUGCUUAGAUAUCACGAAGAACCCCGAUUGCGAAGGCAGCUUACUAAUCUGUGACUGACAUUGAUGCUCGAAAGUGUGGGUAUCAAACAGGAUUAGAUACCCGGGUAGUC